UGAUGCAGAGCUUUGCAUGCAGCCAGGAACUGUCAUCCAGAGCUGAUUUCAGACAUAUUCACUGAGCAAAAGAAAACAGACUGUGAAUAAUAGGGUGACCAAAGCACCGAUGGUGCCCUGACUGUGAAUAAUAGGGUGACCAAAGCACCGAUGGAGCCCUGAAAAGUGUUAAAACAACAGCUGAAAUACUUGAUUUAAUAGCAAAAGAUGCAAAAGAUGCAGCUUCCAGCCAAAGAGGGAUGUUAGGCUUUUACAUUGAGGGUGGUGAUGCACGGGUUGCCCAAGGAGGCUGUGGAUGCCCCAUCCCUGCAGGCAUUUAAAGCCACCCUGGGCAUCCUGGGCUGCUGGUUGCUGACCCUACACACAGCAUGGGGUUGGAUCUGGAUGAGCAUUGAGGUCCUUUUCAACCCAACGCCAUUCUAUGAUCUCUAAACCCAAUCCCCCUAUUCCCAACCCAAGGAGCUGGGUAGGCCGCAGUGCAGCGGGGUAGGCCGCAGUGCAGCGGGCCGUCUCCAUGGCAACGGCCGCCAUGACACCCCUCCGCGGGCCGCUCUACGCUACCGAACUCAUCUCUAUGGUUCUAACAUAGGGGUCGGGAUGGGAGUGAGUCCUCCAGGCCGCAAGGGGGCGCUGUGGGGCGGGGCGGAGCAGUGAGAGGGGCCGGGCCGGGCCGGGCGGAGCGGCCGCUGCCAUGGACGCGCUGUACCGGGCCGAGCCCCGGCCCCGCCGCACAACGGCCUCAUCCCCGUUACCUUGGGCCCGAUUCUCCGCCUGGUUGGACUGUGUCUGCGUGGUCACAUUCGAUCUGGAGCUGGGACAGGCCAUGGAGUUGGUGUAUCCUCAUGACUUCAGAUUAACAGAGAAAGAGAAGACGAGUAUCUGCUACUUGUCCUUCCCCGACUCCUAUUCAGGUGGCCUGGGGGACACGCAGUUCAGCUUCCGCCUGCGCCAGUCUGGGGGGCAGAGGAGCGCUCACUAUGAGGACGAUGGCGAGUACAACAGAGAGGCACCCCUCACACUGCAGCGGGAGUCAGCGCAUUACUUUGGUUACGUAUACUUCAGGCAAGUCAAGGACAGCUCGAUGAAAAGAGGUUAUUUUCAGAAGUCUCUGGUGCUGGUGUCGCGCCUUCCAUACGUGAACUUGUUCCAGUCGUUGCUGCAGCUGAUUGCUCCGGAAUACUUUGAUAAGCUGGAGCCAUGCCUGGAGGCAGUGUGCAAUGAGAUCGACCAGUGGCCGCCUCCAGUGCCAGGACAGACCCUGAACCUGCCAGUGAUGGGGGUUGUCAUUCAGGUGAGAAUCCCAUCCAGGGUGGAUAAGCCAGGAUCAAGCCCGGUGAAGCAGUUCAAUCAAGAGAAUCUCCUACCAGCCCCACUGGUUCUCCCAAGCAUUCACGAACUGGAUCUCUUCAGGUGUUUCCAGCCAGUGCUUAUUCACGUACAGAUGUUAUGGGAGCUGAUGCUGCUGGGAGAGCCAAUUGUUGUAAUGGCACCAUCCCCUACAGUCUCUUCUGAAAUGGUUCUGGCUCUCACCAGCUGCCUUGCUCCCCUGAGGUACUGCUGCGACUACCGCCCCUAUUUCACUAUCCAUGACAGUGAAUUUAAAGAAUAUACCACCAGGACACAAGCUCCGCCUAACAUUGUUGUGGGAGUCACGAACCCUUUCUUUAUCAAAACACUCCAGCACUGGCCUCACAUCCUUCGUGUUGGGGAGCUCAAGAUGUCAGGUGACCUGCCCAAGCAAGUCAAGGUGAAGAAGCUAACUAAACUAAAAACCCUCGACACAAAACCAGGAAUCUACACCGCGUACAAAACGUUCCUUCACAAAGACAAAACUCUGAUAAAGAGGUUGUUAAAGGGCAUCCAGCGGAAACGCCCGUCUGAAGUCCAGAGCGCCCUUCUGAGGCGGCACCUCCUGGAGCUCACCCAGAGCUUCAUUAUUCCCCUGGAGCACUACAUUGCAAGUCUGAUGCCUCUGCAGAGGGCCAUCACUCCAUGGAAAAAUCCCCCACAGAUUCGUCCUUUCCGCCAAGAUGAUUUCAUGAAGACCCUGGAACACGCUGGUCCCCAACUUACCUGUGUCCUUAAGGGUGACUGGUUGGGUCUUUACAGGCGUUUCUUCAGGUCUCCCAACUUUGAUGGCUGGUACCGUCAGAGGCACAAGGAAAUGACCCAGAAGCUGGAAGCCCUUCACUUGGAGGCCAUCUGUGAAGCGGCCCUUCCCGAGCCAACAGAGCCCCAGACUGGAAACGUCACCUGUUGCUGGCUCCCUUAAUGCCUAUUGAAAAUAGAACAUUGCGGCGUGGAUGAAGGACAAGUCGGAGGUGGAGAUCGUAGACCUGGUGCUAAAACUCCGCGAGAAGCUGGUAAGAGCCAGGUGCCAGCAUCUCCCUGUGAAGGAGGAGACCCUGCAGCGCGUGGGCCUUUACAUCGAGACCAUCAUUGACUCCUUGCCUGAGGAUCUACAGGCCGUGCUGCACCACCACUGAGUGCACUGAGGGGCUGCAGCAGAAGGAAGGGCCCUCACCCGCUGUGAGCAGCUGCUUGGAAAGGAAACCUCUGAUCCAGCCACCACGGCCCCGUCGGGACCUUCAUAAGGUCUUUGGUUUCUAAGCACGCGGAUCAGAACCGGAGCAGAAAUGGGAACCCACGUGCACUGUUCUGUCUUGUCCUGCUGCAAGGAGCUGGAUUGAGGGGCCUGCAAAUGAAAACCAGUUUCCUGCGUGGCUGUUAGUAGGUCAGAAAGCGGCAGCAUGUGAUAGGCUGUGCAAAACAUGUUUUGCCCAUAUAUACACAUCCAUCUUUGCCUAGUGCUUGGGCUCUCAGUGCCGUCAUCCUGCCUGGAAGAAGUGGGACCAGCCCUGUAUGGGGGAGUUGUUUUUAGGGCAGCUCCUGCUGGUAACGAGGGGGAUGUUAGUUCCCCACAUAGAAACCAUGUGGAAAAGAAUUGAUGCUGCCCAUUCAGCAGCCAGAGCUUCAGCUGUGAUGGGAGUGGGAGGCUGAAUUGCUGGAUGUGAAAGGCUGUUUUUUCUCCAAGGCAAAGAGAAAAAGGGACUGGUGCAUCUGCAAGGAGCAGAGCUCUCCAGAGAGGGCAGAUGUGCACCGUGUGAAUGGCAACAGCCAACACAGCUCUGCAGAGAGGAGCUGGUCUCCAACUGGAAUUGAUUCUGCUUGGGAAAAUCGAGUGUGUGCGCUCUGGUAUCAUGUAGAAUUGGAGCUCUGCCUUGGGCAGCAAGCUAUGUCUAACACGGUUAGAUGAUAAAGCACGGCGGAGGAUCUGAUUCAGGCAGUCCCACCAUCGCUGCAUCUGCUGUUGCAUUCCACCAUCUGCCAUUUGGCCAGAGUCCUGGUGUGUACCUGGAGGAUGGUUCUGCAGGAUGAGCUGGGUAGGUUGAUGCACUGCUCACGCAGGAGCAGAGGUGAGCACUCAAAUCAUGCAGAGCUGCUGAAGCUCUCCAUUGCGUGGAGCGAGCUGCCGCCUGCUUCAGCCUCAGCCCAUGGGGUAACGUCAAUAAGAGGUGGAGGUGAUGGAAUCCCGUCUGAGUUCUCCCACCCCAGAGCACAGCUGGGGCAGCACGGAGGGGUGGUGGGGCUGCUCUUCCUGCUGCCUUCAGCCUGGAAGCAGCAAAGCAAGGAGCCUCGGCUGUACCGCCCCAUUGCAACCCGUUUGUGCCACGCUCCUUAGCAGCAGCCCUCCUUGUACAGUGUAUAUGGUGUAUAUAGUCCAUGCGUGUGUUGCUGCUCUGAUAGCUCUGCAGUGACUGUGGUGGACUGAAGCACUAAUGUAUAGUAGAAAAUAAUAGUUCAAGAACCACAAAGCUGAGCUAAGCUGUUCCUUG
This is an RNA transcript of Coturnix japonica (Japanese quail), 3836 nucleotides long. It is a transcript of the gene named DENN domain containing 6B, with no coding region annotated. The record is from RefSeq and is a predicted model, not a curated record. NCBI's taxonomy places the organism in Eukaryota, Metazoa, Chordata, Aves, Galliformes, Phasianidae.